Molecule: non-coding RNA, 675 nt
Organism: Arachis ipaensis
Lineage: Eukaryota; Viridiplantae; Streptophyta; Magnoliopsida; Fabales; Fabaceae
Source: RefSeq, a predicted model, not a curated record
AGAGAGGAUGAAGAUACGACGCAAGAGAGGAGGCUGUUCCGCCAUGCACUGUCGUCGCUCCUGGGGUCGAUUGAAGCCGCCGCCGCAGCUAGGGCUUGUCGUGCUCCUGUCCGUACUCCUAACCUCUAUCUCUCUCUCUCCCUCUUCAACUUUCAUUUCAUUCUCAUUUCAAUUUCAAUUUCAAUGUCUCUGCAGGCAAUAAUAUAUUUUAGAAGUUGUAUUGGACUGGAAGAGAGGGAAGGGGAGCAUUUGAACUUUCAAUUUCAUUAAUUUUUGCUGAAUUUCUGUGCCUGUAGGUGAAUACUGGAUUGUGAAGGAUGGUUAGGAUUGUGAAUACAGAAGUUUGGACCUCUUCAUAUAUGGGAACAAUGCUGAUCGAUUCCUGAAUUGGAGCACUAGGUUCCAAAUUGUUCUAAGCGUGGCAAGGGGAUUGCAGUACCUUCAUGAGAAUUCACAUCUAAGAAUUGUUCACCGAGACAUCAAAGCAAGUAACAUUCUUCUUGAUCAUAAGUUUCAUCCCAAGAUUGGAGACUUUGGCCUUGCCAGGUUCUUCCCUGAAGACCAAGCUUAUCUUAGCACACAAUUCGCUGGAACAUUGUUUAGUUAUUAAGUAAUUGAGCUGAGCUGUAAGUUUGACAAAUGAAAUGGUUUCCUGCCAGCGCCAAAAGGGCUGUU